CUUGCUUUUGAAAGGUCAGCGGCGGACGGGUGAGUAACACGUGGGCAACCUGCCUGUAAGACUGGGAUAACUUCGGGAAACCGGAGCUAAUACCGGAUAAUAUAAGGAACCUCCUGGUUCUUUAUUGAAAGAUGGUUUCGGCUAUCACUUGCAGAUGGGCCCGCGGCGCAUUAGCUAGUUGGUGAGGUAACGGCUCACCAAGGCAACGAUGCGUAGCCGACCUGAGAGGGUGAUCGGCCACACUGGGACUGAGACACGGCCCAGACUCCUACGGGAGGCAGCAGUAGGGAAUCUUCCACAAUGGACGAAAGUCUGAUGGAGCAACGCCGCGUGAGCGAUGAAGGCCUUCGGGUCGUAAAGCUCUGUUGUUAGGGAAGAACAAGUGCGAGAGUAACUGCUCGCACCUUGACGGUACCUAACCAGAAAGCCACGGCUAACUACGUGCCAGCAGCCGCGGUAAUACGUAGGUGGCAAGCGUUGUCCGGAAUUAUUGGGCGUAAAGCGCGCGCAGGUGGUCCUUUAAGUCUGAUGUGAAAGCCCACGGCUCAACCGUGGAGGGUCAUUGGAAACUGGGGGACUUGAGUGCAGAAGAGGAAAGUGGAAUUCCAAGUGUAGCGGUGAAAUGCGUAGAGAUUUGGAGGAACACCAGUGGCGAAGGCGACUUUCUGGUCUGUAACUGACACUGAGGCGCGAAAGCGUGGGGAGCAAACAGGAUUAGAUACCCUGGUAGUCCACGCCGUAAACGAUGAGUGCUAAGUGUUAGAG
Molecule: ribosomal RNA, 765 nt
Filed under: Bacillus sp. E3
Lineage: Bacteria; Bacillati; Bacillota; Bacilli; Caryophanales; Bacillaceae
Description: bacterial SSU rRNA
Rfam family: Bacterial small subunit ribosomal RNA
Source: RNAcentral